GUAUGGUGAAAGCAUGGCUGUUGCUCAGGGCAAAGGAAAAAAGUAGAUUUGCAUACUUCCGAUGAAACUUAUCUUCUGCCGUUUAUGGGACCAGAAAUGUUACGCCCUUUUUACACCAACAUAUGAGGGAUGCAAUGAUUUGGCCGGAGCUGCAGAUAAAAAUUUGAAGAAAAUCAUAGCAUCUGUGUUCCUUCUACAGGUCUCAAUAAUUUAGCAGUUAUCCAGACACCGACAAAAGCACACUUAACAGUUGGAGACUCCACUGAAAUCACAUGUAUUUGGGAAAAAUGGAUUCGAUUGAGAGAUAUAGAGUAAGCUGGUAUCUUGUCAAUAAGGAGAACAUCACAAAAACUGUAACGUCAGACGUUGUCUACCUAUCCAGUGUCACCCGCGAAAACAAGGAUGUGCUGGUGAUAGAAGCUGCCAAUGUAAAUAACACUGGAUUUUAUUACUGUGAGAUAAUUAUUGAAAUACCUUUCUAUGAAAGAAUGUAUGGAAAUGGAACAAUGCUGACUGUUGAAAAGAAAGGCAAUAGGGAUGGUGCGUGUUUCACCUAACCUUAAAGAAAGAAUGUGUCAUACCUGGAGGACAAUUUACCUUACUUCUGUUACACAACUCUCAAGAUCCUGUGCGUCGCUUUUUGAUGACAACGAUGAUCUCCCUCUCCUUUUCUGUCGCAGCUGUAGAGAAAGACAAGAAGCUGACUCACUGGAGAAGAGAGGGAUGGCAAUUUUGGCCAUCAUUCCUUUCCUAGUGGCAGUGGGAAGCUUGUAUCUUUGCUACAAAAAGAAACAGAACGCAAAACUUUCUGACCAAAAAAGUGAGGAGCCAGAACAUAGCUUCGUGUAA
Molecule: long non-coding RNA, 849 nt
Filed under: Struthio camelus australis
Lineage: Eukaryota; Metazoa; Chordata; Aves; Struthioniformes; Struthionidae
Description: lncRNA (ENSSCUG00000015967.1)
Source: RNAcentral